UUAAACGGCCGCGGUAUCCUGACCGUGCAAAGGUAGCAUAAUCAUUUGUUCCCUAAAUAGGGACUUGUAUGAAUGGCCACACGAGGGCUUUACUGUCUCUUACUUCCAAUCCGUGAAAUUGACCUUCCCGUGAAGAGGCGGGAAUACAACAAUAAGACGAGAAGACCCUAUGGAGCUUCAAUUAAUCGACUCAAAGAGACUCCACUAACUAACCGACAGGAACAACAAACCUCUACAUGAGCCGACAAUUUAGGUUGGGGUGACCUCGGAGAACAAAACAACCUCCGAGUGAUUUAAAUCUAGACUAACCAGUCAAAAGUAUUACAUCACUUAUUGAUCCAAAAACUUGAUCAACGGAACAAGUUACCCUAGGGAUAACAGCGCAAUCCUAUUUCAGAGUCCAUAUCGACAAUAGGGUUUACGACCUCGAUGUUGGAUCAGGACAUCCCGAUGGUGCAGCAGCUAUCAAA
RNAcentral lists this ribosomal RNA (470 nucleotides) under Prionailurus bengalensis (leopard cat). RNAcentral's name for it is "partial large subunit ribosomal RNA". It matches the Rfam family "Bacterial large subunit ribosomal RNA", at positions 1923 to 2569 of the family's 2925-position model. The record is from RNAcentral. Lineage: Eukaryota; Metazoa; Chordata; Mammalia; Carnivora; Felidae.